Molecule: non-coding RNA, 23 nt
Filed under: Drosophila melanogaster (fruit fly)
Lineage: Eukaryota; Metazoa; Arthropoda; Insecta; Diptera; Drosophilidae
Source: RNAcentral
UAUAUUAUUAGGAUUUGCCAUAC